Ribosomal RNA from Carlito syrichta (Philippine tarsier), 119 nucleotides. The record is from Ensembl. NCBI's taxonomy places the organism in Eukaryota, Metazoa, Chordata, Mammalia, Primates, Tarsiidae.
AUCUACGGCCAUACCAACCUGAAGGCGCCCUAUCUCGUCUGAUCUCAAAAACUAAGCAGGGACGGGCCUGGUUAGUACUUGGAUGGGAGUCUGCCUGGGAAUACCGGGUGCUGUACGCU